GGGCUGCCCUCCAGCCUACACCGGGACGACUUUAGCUACUUCCAACUCCGGGCUCACUUGUACCAGGCCCGGGGUGUGUUGGCUGCAGAUGACAGUGGCCUCUCGGACCCCUUUGCUCGAGUCCUCAUCUCUACCCAGUGUCAGACCACACGGGUCCUGGAGCAGACGCUGAGCCCUCUGUGGGAUGAACUCCUGGUAUUUGAGCAGUUGAUCGUGGAUGGGAGGAGGGAGCACCUGCAGGAGGAGCCUCCAUUAGUGAUCAUCAAUGUAUUUGACCACAAUAAGUUUGGCCCCCCCGUGUUCCUGGGCAGGGCACUGGCCGCCCCAAGGGUAAAGCUGAUGGAGGACCCAUACCAACGCCCAGAGUUGCAGUUCUUCCCCCUGAGGAAGGGACCCUGGGCAGCCGGAGAGCUCAUUGCCGCCUUUCAACUCAUUGAACUAGACUACAGUGGCCGACUUGAGCCCUCAGUGCCCAGUGAGGUGGAGCCCCAGGAUCUGGCACCCCUGGUUGAGCCCCACUCUGGACGCCUGUCCCUUCCACCCAACGUGUGCCCAGUGCUCAGGGAGUUCCGUGUUGAGGUGCUGUUCUGGGGUCUUAGGGGACUUGGUCGUGUGCAUCUGCUCGAGGUGGAGCAGCCCCAGGUUGUACUGGAGGUGGCUGGGCAAGGUGUGGAGUCUGAGGUCCUGGCCAGCUACCGUGAGAGCCCCAAUUUCACUGAGCUUGUCAGGCAUCUGACAGUGGACUUGCCGGAGCAGCCUUACUUGCAGCCUCCACUCAGCAUCUUGGUGAUUGAGCGCCGGGCCUUUGGCCACACAGUCCUUGUGGGUUCCCACAUUGUCCCCCACAUGCUGCGAUUCACAUUUCGGGGUCAUGAGGAUCCUCCUGAGGAGGAAGGAGAGAUGGAGGAGACAGGGGAUAUGAUGCCCAAGGGACCUCAAGGACAGAAGUCCCUGGAUCCCUUCUUGGCUGAAGCGGGUAUAUCCAGACAGCUCCUGAAGCCUCCUCUGAAGAAGCUCCCACUAGGAGGCCUCCUAAAUCAAGGCCCUGGGCUGGAGGAAGACAUCCCAGAUCCAGAGGAGCUCGACUGGGGGUCCAAGUACUAUGCGUCGCUGCAGGAGCUCCAGGGGCAGCACAACUUUGAUGAAGAUGAAAUGGAUGAUCCUGGAGAUUCAGAUGGGGUCAACCUCAUUUCUAUGGUUGGGGAGAUCCAAGACCAGGGUGAGGCUGAAGUCAAAGGCACUGUGUCCCCAAAAAAAGCAGUUGCCACCCUGAAGAUCUACAACAGGUCCCUGAAGGAAGAAUUUAACCACUUUGAAGACUGGCUGAAUGUGUUUCCUCUGUACCGAGGGCAAGGGGGCCAGGAUGGAGGUGGAGAAGAGGAAGGAUCUGGACACCUUGUGGGCAAGUUCAAGGGCUCCUUCCUCAUUUACCCUGAAUCAGAGGCAGUGUUGUUCUCUGAGCCCCAGAUCUCCCGGGGGAUCCCACAGAACCGGCCCAUCAAGCUCCUGGUCAGAGUGUAUGUUGUAAAGGCUACCAACCUGGCUCCUGCAGACCCCAAUGGCAAAGCAGACCCUUACGUGGUGGUGAGCGCUGGCCGGGAGCGGCAGGACACCAAGGAACGCUACAUCCCCAAGCAGCUCAACCCCAUCUUUGGAGAGAUCCUGGAGCUAAGCAUCUCUCUCCCAGCUGAGACGGAGCUGACGGUCGCCGUAUUUGAUCAUGACCUCGUGGGUUCUGACGACCUCAUCGGGGAGACCCACAUUGAUCUGGAAAACCGAUUCUAUAGCCACCACAGAGCAAACUGUGGGCUGGCCUCCCAGUAUGAAGUAGAUGGUUACAAUGCCUGGCGUGAUGCAUUCUGGCCUUCGCAGAUCCUGGCGGGGCUGUGCCAACGCUGUGGCCUCCCUGCCCCUGAAUACCGAGCCGGUGCUGUCAAGGUGGGCAGCAAAGUCUUCCUGACACCACCGGAGACCCUGCCCCCAGGCAGCAGCAGCCCCACAGUGGCGAGCGGGGACCCUGAAGAGGCCCAGGCAUUGCUUGUGCUGCGGCGCUGGCAGGAAAUGCCGGGUUUUGGGAUCCAGCUGGUACCCGAGCAUGUAGAAACCAGGCCUCUCUACCAUCCCCACAGCCCAGGGCUGCUACAGGGAUCUCUUCACAUGUGGAUUGACAUCUUUCCUCAAGAUGUGCCUGCUCCACCCCCAGUUGACAUCAAGCCUCGGCAGCCAAUCAGCUAUGAGCUCAGAGUUGUCAUCUGGAACACGGAGGAUGUGGUUCUGGACGACGAGAAUCCACUCACCGGAGAGAUGUCGAGUGACAUCUAUGUGAAGAGCUGGGUGAAGGGGUUGGAGCAUGACAAGCAGGAGACAGACGUUCACUUCAACUCCCUGACUGGGGAGGGGAACUUCAAUUGGCGCUUUGUGUUCCGCUUUGACUACCUGCCCACGGAGCGGGAGGUGAGCGUCCGGCGCAGGUCUGGACCCUUUGCCCUGGAGGAGGCGGAGUUCCGGCAGCCUGCAGUGCUGGUCCUGCAGGUCUGGGACUAUGACCGCAUCUCUGCCAAUGACUUCCUUGGAUCCCUGGAGUUGCAGCUACCAGACAUGGUGCGUGGGGCCCGGGGCCCCGAGCUCUGCUCUGUGCAGCUGGCCCGCAAUGGGGCCGGGCCGAGGUGCAAUCUGUUUCGCUGCUGCCGCCGCCUGAGGGGCUGGUGGCCGGUAGUGAAGCUGAAGGAGGCAGAGGACGUGGAGCGGGAGGCGCAGGAGGCUCAGGCUGGCAAGAAGAAGCGAAAGCAGAGGAGGAGGAAGGGCCGGCCAGAAGACCUGGAGUUCACAGACAUGGGUGGCAAUGUGUACAUCCUCACGGUGGGUGCCCGUGGGCAGAGGCCAGGCUGAGCUGGGGCCUGAGCCCGCCCCCUGCUCCCAGUGAUGCAGGAAUGUCUUUUUUAGGGCAAGGUGGAGGCAGAGUUUGAGCUGCUGACUGUGGAGGAGGCCGAGAAACGGCCAGUGGGGAAGGGGCGGAAGCAGCCAGAGCCUCUGGAGAAACCCAGCCGCCCCAAAACUUCCUUCAACUGGUUUGUGAACCCGCUGAAGACCUUUGUCUUCUUCAUCUGGCGCCGGUACUGGCGCACCCUGGUGCUGCUGCUACUGGUGCUGCUCACCGUCUUCCUCCUCCUGGUCUUCUACACCAUCCCUGGCCAGAUCAGCCAGGUCAUCUUCCGUCCCCUCCACAAGUGACUCUCGCUGACCUUGGACACUCACCCAGGGUGCCAACCCUUCAAUGCCUGCUCCUGGAAGUCUUUCUUACCCAUGUGAGCUACCCCAGAGUCUAGUGCUUCCUCUGAAUAAACCUAUCACAG
Homo sapiens (human) is the source of this 3353-nucleotide long non-coding RNA. NCBI's taxonomy places the organism in Eukaryota, Metazoa, Chordata, Mammalia, Primates, Hominidae. The record is from Ensembl.